UUAACUUACACCUCCAACGCCAGGGGAUUACGAGCAAUGCUUAAAACCCAAAGGAUUUGACGGUGUCCCACCCCACUAGAGGAGCCUGUUCUAUAAUCGAUGAUCCCCGCUUCACCCGACCGUUCCUCGCUUAUCAGUCUGUAUACCUCCGUCGAAAGCUUACCAUGUGAACGCCAACAGUAAGCUUAAUGAUAUCACCAUCAACACGUCAGGUCAAGGUGCAGCUUAAGGAACGGGAAGCAAUGGGCUACAAUUUCUAAUUUAGAACAAACGAAAGAUUAUGUGAAAUCCUAAUCAUGAAGGUGGAUUUAGUAGUAAAAAGGAAAUAGAGUGUCCUUUUUAACUCGGCUCUGGGACGCGUACACACCGCCCGUCACCCUCUUCAAUAGUAUUUUUUCUGUCCCUAACCCCCCUCGCACAUUUUAGAAGAGGCAAGUCGUAACAUGGUAAGUGUACUGGAAAGUGCACUUGGAAUAUUA
Molecule: ribosomal RNA, 479 nt
Filed under: Rana cascadae
Lineage: Eukaryota; Metazoa; Chordata; Amphibia; Anura; Ranidae
Description: partial 12S ribosomal RNA
Rfam family: Bacterial small subunit ribosomal RNA
Source: RNAcentral